RNAcentral lists this ribosomal RNA (776 nucleotides) under uncultured Neocallimastigales. Its description in RNAcentral is "partial large subunit ribosomal RNA". It matches the Rfam family "Eukaryotic large subunit ribosomal RNA", at positions 23 to 644 of the family's 3401-position model. Lineage: Eukaryota; Fungi; Neocallimastigomycota; Neocallimastigomycetes; Neocallimastigales. The record is from RNAcentral.
AGAGAGAGACAUGCGCGCAUAUCAAUAAGCGGAGGAAAAGAAACUAACAAGGAUUCCCUUAGUAACGGCGAGUGAAGCGGGAAGAGCUCAAAUUUGAAAUCUUCAAGGUUCUACCUUGACGAAUUGUAGUUUAUAGAAGUGUUUUCUGUUAGUGGAGUGGCAAAAGUUCUUUGGAAUAGGACAUCAUAGAGGGUGAGAAUCCCGUAUUUGGUCAUUCCUCCUAGCGUUGUGAUACACUUUCAACGAGUCGGAUUGUUUGGGAAUGCAGUCCAAAAUGGGUGGUAAAUUUCAUCUAAAGCUAAAUAUUGGCGAGAGACCGAUAGCGAACAAGUACCGUGAGGGAAAGAUGAAAAGAACUUUGAAAAGAGAGUUAAACAGUACGUGAAAUUGUCAAAAGGGAAGCGUUUGACACCAGUGUUGUUUUUCCGAAAAUCAAUUACGAAUGUUUUAGUUUUUGAGGAGUUAUGACUUCAUCGGCUUGCUCCUUUCUUUACGAAACUUUCUUAAUGCACUUUUCGGUUAACAAGUCAACAUCAAUUUCUUUUGUUGUAAAAGGGUAUGAGGAAGGUGGCUUUCUUUUCGGAGAAAGUGUUUAUAAGCCUUGUGCCUCUGCAAUCGGAGAGAUUGAGGUCUGCAGCGUAGAUCCUUCGGGGUUAGAUACGUUUGUGCUAAGUUAUAGCUUUUCAUAGACAACUUGUUGACUAUGUUUAGUCUUGUAGCUUACUCGCUGACGCUAUUUUACCUACGCUUAGGAUGUUGAUAGUCACAGCGUGUAC